CAGAGCCGGUUAAGCGGCGGACUGGUGAGUAACGCGUGGGUGACCCGCCUUGAGAAUGGGGAUAUGACCAGUUAGAAAUAGCGGGUAAUACCGAAUAAGCUGUGGCAGCUAUGUGCAGCUACAGGAAAGAAGCUACGGCUUCGCCUUACAGAUGGGCCCGCGUCCCAUUAGCUAGUUGGUGAUGUAAAGAGAUUACCAAGGCGAAGAUGGGUAGCCGGACCUGAGAGGGUGAACGGCACACUGGGACUGAGAUACUGUGACCAGACUCCUACGGGAGGCAGCAGCUAAGAAUAUUCCUGCAAUGGAGGAAACUCUGACGUGAGCUGACGCCGCGUGGAUGAGGAAAGGCCGAAAGGUUGUAAAAUCCUUUUGCCGAUGAAGAAUAAGUGCAGGAGGGAAUGCCCGCAUGAUGACGUUAG
RNAcentral lists this ribosomal RNA (419 nucleotides) under uncultured bacterium. RNAcentral describes it as "bacterial SSU rRNA". It matches the Rfam family "Bacterial small subunit ribosomal RNA", at positions 81 to 478 of the family's 1533-position model. The record is from RNAcentral.